This 512-nucleotide ribosomal RNA is filed under the name uncultured bacterium. RNAcentral's name for it is "partial 16S ribosomal RNA". It matches the Rfam family "Bacterial small subunit ribosomal RNA", at positions 28 to 507 of the family's 1533-position model. The record is from RNAcentral.
GAUGAACGCUGGCGGCGUGCCUAAUACAUGCGAGUCGAACGAAACUUCUUUAUCACCGAGUGCUUGCACUCACCGAUAAAGAGUUGAGUGGCGAACGGGUGAGUAACACGUGGGCAACCUGCCCAAAAGAGGGGGAUAACACUUGGAAACAGGUGCUAAUACCGCAUAACCAUAGUUACCGCAUGGUAACUAUGUAAAAGGUGGCUAUACUACCGCUUUUGGAUGGGCCCGCGGCGCAUUAGCUAGUUGGUAGGGUAAAGGCUUACCAAGGCAAUGAUGCGUAGCCGAAUUGAGAGGUUGAUCGGCCACAUUGGGACUGAGACACGGCCCAAACUCCUACGGGAGGCAGCAGUAGGGAAUCUUCCACAAUGGGCGAAAGCCUGAUGGAGCAACGCCGCGUGGGUGAAGAAGGUCUUCGGAUCGUAAAACCCUGUUGUUAGAGAAGAAAGUGCGUGAGAGUAACUGUUCACGUUUCGACGGUAUCUAACCAGAAAGCCACUGCUAACUACGUG